AUGUUGACCAUGUGCGCUAGAUAUCAGGCGGACUGUACUACAGCCAGCUGCGUGAGCGGAAGGAAAAAGGGUUCUCUCACCGUAGAAGCUGACGACGCCGUUGGGGACGAAGAACAUGAGGAAGACGAUGACGACCCAGCAGAAGAUCUUGGCCAUCCAGCCGCCGUGGUGGACCUUGUCGCGCGGGUCCUUCUGGUCCUUGAUGCCGGCCAUGAUGGCGGCGAGGAUGGUGAAGAAGAGGAAGUUGCCGAGGCUGACCCUGAGCACGGCGUCCGUCUCGAACCACUCGCGGUCCGGCGUCUUGUGGAAGUGGUUGAUCCCUGCAACAGAGCGUCGUCGGUCAGAUCGAGCGAAAACGAAUUCGGGGUUAGGUUAGGUUAG
This 381-nucleotide ribosomal RNA is filed under the name Triticum aestivum (bread wheat). Its description in RNAcentral is "partial small subunit ribosomal RNA". The record is from RNAcentral. Lineage: Eukaryota; Viridiplantae; Streptophyta; Magnoliopsida; Poales; Poaceae.